This 72-nucleotide transfer RNA is filed under the name Pseudomonadota bacterium. RNAcentral's name for it is "tRNA-Thr". It matches the Rfam family "tRNA". From Rfam's summary of the family: Transfer RNA (tRNA) molecules are approximately 80 nucleotides in length. Their secondary structure includes four short double-helical elements and three loops (D, anti-codon, and T loops). The record is from RNAcentral. Lineage: Bacteria; Pseudomonadati; Pseudomonadota. RNAcentral also lists the same sequence under 1 other name.
GCCUCUCUAGCUCAGCGGUAGAGCAGCUGAUUCGUAAUCAGCAGGUCGCCAGUUCGAAUCUGGUGGGAGGCU